Molecule: ribosomal RNA, 253 nt
Filed under: uncultured bacterium
Lineage: Bacteria
Description: partial 16S ribosomal RNA
Rfam family: Bacterial small subunit ribosomal RNA
Source: RNAcentral
GACAGAGGGUGCAAGCGUUGUUCGGAAUUACUGGGCGUAAAGCGCGUGUAGGCGGCUAUGUAAGUCGGGCGUGAAAUCCCACGGCUCAACCGUGGAAGUGCACCCGAAACUGCGUAGCUAGAGUCCUGGAGAGGAAGGUGGAAUGCUUGGUGUAGAGGUGAAAUUCGUAGAUAUCAAGCGGAACACCGGUGGCGAAGGCGGCCUUCUGGACAGUGACUGACGCUGAGACGCGAAAGCGUGGGGAGCGAACAGG